Molecule: unclassified non-coding RNA, 216 nt
Filed under: Hevea brasiliensis (rubber tree)
Lineage: Eukaryota; Viridiplantae; Streptophyta; Magnoliopsida; Malpighiales; Euphorbiaceae
Source: RNAcentral
AAUCAAUGGGGUGAGUGAGUUUGCGUUAAGUUUUUUUAAAAAUUAAAAAUUUAAUUUUGAAAAUUUAAUUUAAUAUAUUUCUGUAAUUCAGUUUGAUUUGAUUUUUAAUUAAAAAAAAUUCUAUUGAAUUGGAUGAAAAAAAUAAGUUUAGUAUGAAACACAAAUUAAUAAAUUAAAUCGAAAUACAUCAAAUGUUCAUUCCUAGUAGUUGAGAAG